AGAGUUUGAUCCUGGCUCAGAAUCAACGCUGGCGGCGUGCCUAACACAUGCAAGUCGAACGAGAAAGUGGAGCAAUCCAUGAGUAAAGUGGCGCACGGGUGAGUAACACGUGACUAACCUACCCUUGAGUGGGGGAUAACCUAGGGAAACCUGGGCUAAUACCGCAUAAUACCUACGGGUCAAAGGAGCAAUUCGCUCGAGGAGGGGGUCGCGGCCGAUUAGUUAGUUGGCGGGGUAAUGGCCCACCAAGACUAUGAUCGGUAUCCGGCCUGAGAGGGCGCACGGACACACUGGAACUGAAACACGGUCCAGACUCCUACGGGAGGCAGCAGUGGGGAAUUUUGCGCAAUGGGGGAAACCCUGACGCAGCAACGCCGCGUGGAGGAUGAAGUACUUCGGUACGUAAACUCCUUUCGAUCGGGACGAUUAUGACGGUACCGAGAGAAGAAGCCCCGGCUAACUUCGUGCCAGCAGCCGCGGUAAUACGAGGGGGGCGAGCGUUGUUCGGAAUUAUUGGGCGUAAAGGGUGCGUAGGCGGUUUGGUAAGUCUGAUGUGAAAUCUAUGGGCUCAACUCAUAGUCUGCAUCGGAAACUGCCGGGCUUGAGUAUGGGAGAGGUGAGUGGAAUUCCUGGUGUAGCGGUGAAAUGCGUAGAUAUCAGGAGGAACACCUGUGGCGAAAGCGGCUCACUGGACCAUAACUGACGCUGAUGCACGAAAGCUAGGGGAGCAAACAGGAUUAGAUACCCUAGUAGUCC
RNAcentral lists this ribosomal RNA (756 nucleotides) under uncultured bacterium. RNAcentral describes it as "bacterial SSU rRNA". It matches the Rfam family "Bacterial small subunit ribosomal RNA", at positions 8 to 796 of the family's 1533-position model. The record is from RNAcentral.